Halichondria panicea is the source of this 443-nucleotide long non-coding RNA. RefSeq lists it as uncharacterized. Lineage: Eukaryota; Metazoa; Porifera; Demospongiae; Suberitida; Halichondriidae. The transcript is spliced from 3 exons. The record is from RefSeq and is a predicted model, not a curated record.
CUGUGUGUGUACAUGACCACCAUGCAAUCUAUUACCCAGUCUGCUGUUCAAGAGAGACUUGUGAUGGAGGAAGAGCUCAAGAAGGCACUGGAUCGCUGUAAGGAGUUGGAGCAGAGCAGUGUGCCUGCAGUGGACGGGGUGGACAUAUUCGAGUGCUACAAAGUAACGGGACAAGGAAGAGUACUUGAAACAGUCUGCUGUGCAAGAGAGACUUGUGAUGAAGGAAGAGCUCAAGAAGGCACUGGAUCUCUGUAAGGAGUUGAAGCAGAGCGGUGUGCCUGCAGUGGACGGGGUGGAUAUAUUCGAGUGCUACAAAGUAACGGGAGAAGGAAGAAUACUUGAAACAGAGGGUUCUUCCUGCAAGCAUCGACUGUGGACCCCCCGGACAGAUAGCUGGGUAUCGACGCAUACUCUGACGUGAUCAAACCAAUCAGUGUCCAUGG